This 460-nucleotide ribosomal RNA is filed under the name uncultured bacterium. RNAcentral describes it as "partial 16S ribosomal RNA". It matches the Rfam family "Bacterial small subunit ribosomal RNA", at positions 338 to 795 of the family's 1533-position model. The record is from RNAcentral.
CCUACGGGAGGCAGCAGUGGGGAAUAUUGCACAAUGGGGGAAACCCUGAUGCAGCGACGCCGCGUGCAGGAAGACGGCUCUAUGAGUUGUAAACUGCUUUUGUACGAGGGUAAACGCAGAUACGCGUAUCUGUCUGAAAGUAUCGUACGAAUAAGGAUCGGCUAACUCCGUGCCAGCAGCCGCGGUAAUACGGAGGAUUCAAGCGUUAUCCGGAUUUAUUGGGUUUAAAGGGUGCGUAGGCGGUCGGAUAAGUUAGAGGUGAAAUCCCGAGGCUCAACUUCGGAAUUGCCUCUGAUACUGUUCGGCUAGAGAGUAGUUGCGGUAGGCGGAAUGUAUGGUGUAGCGGUGAAAUGCUUAGAGAUCAUACAGAACACCGAUUGCGAAGGCAGCUUACCAAGCUACUUCUGACGUUGAGGCACGAAAGCGUGGGGAGCAAACAGGAUUAGAUACCCGUGUAGUC